UCUAUCAUCUAUCUAUCUCUGUCAUAGUACUUAUCAUACCACAUUCUGAUGUCUCAGUUCCUUCACCUCCCAUCACAUUGUUAGCAACUCUAAAACAAGGUCCAUGCCUUGUUCAGUAUUUCUAGUCCCUGGCAUGUAGUAGUCAUUCAAUGUAUUUUGUUAAGUAAAGGAACAGAUGAAUAUCUCUCAUUAAAUCAUUUGAAGAGUUAUCUUUUCCUUUUGUGAACAGAUCUUAAGACUAUUUCUCAAGUCAUUUUGUGUCAGAUUUUCCUUGAUCCAGAGGCUAUAUAAAAGGGAAGUCCUUCUGAUAGCACUUCCCAGUCUGAUCCCCUGUAAAAAAAAUCAUCCAAAUGUCCCAGCUCUCAGACUUCCCGCUCGUAGGUCCCAAAGUAGCAAGACUUCUUUGUCUAAAGCAUGAGGAUUGUGUCUGAUAUAAUGUAUGAAAAGAUAUUCCCCUAGAUCUGAGAUGGAGACAAAGAAGUAGAUUUGGGCAAGUGCACUGGGUCUUUCCUGGUUUCUCUCAGAAUCUGGGAUCAAAUAUGGGGCAACAAAUUCAGCGGGGUGUGUGUUGGUGUGGGGCGGGGUGGGGCGGGUAGAAAAGUUUCCUGAGGAAUCUACACAUUUUUAGAGAGAGAAAAGCCCUUAAAGAAAGUUGAAGAAGAACUUUGGAGAAACCAGAAAAUGAUGAGAAACCUGAGGAACAGGAGCUUGAUUCACUUUAUUCUUAUUUUGUCUGGGAAUAUGGUAGACGGUUGAUGUCAGUGAGGAAGUAGGUGCUUGAAUCCUCUGUUUUCUUUGCCAUUAGAGGAAAUGACCCCUACCUUUGAAUGAACUAGGGGUCCAGGAUCCCGGAGGUAGAAAAGAGAGAGCAAAACAUGUGCCAACACCAGUGGUGAGCACAAUGCAGUAAGAGUAGUUUGAAGGGGUGCUUGGGUGGCUCAGUCGGUUGAACGUCUGACUUCGGCUCAAGUCAUGAUCUCACAGUUCACAAGUUCAAGCCUCGCGUUGUGCUCUGUGCUGACAGCUCAGAGCCUGGAGCCUGCUUUGGAUUCUGUGUCUCCCUCUCUCUCUGCCCCACCCCUGCUCGUGCUCUGUCCCUCUCUGUCUCUUAAAAGAUAAAAUAAAACGUUAAAAAAAUUAAAAAAAAAAAAGAGUAGUUUGGAAAAAUCAGUCUUAUAAACCCUCCAUUGUUGUGUUUCAGGGUUGGACGUAUCCUUAUUCCCUCUUCAAUUUCUUUCUCGGUGGAAAAUGUCUCAAAAGAACAGCAAAUUGAGUUGUUGGGAUUGGGGCUUGUCAUAUAAAAAAGGGAAAGGAAAUUAAGGUCCUGUCUCUCUCUUCAUGACUGUGCCAUUUAGGAAUUUUGCUUAUUAAAUGGGCCUUUCUUCUAUGCCCGCAGAAACUGUAGGGCUACGUUACUUUAUCAUUCUCCUGUGCCAUCUUUCCCAUCUCCCUCUGUCUCCUCCCUUUCAAAAUGGUUUGGUCAGAAGACACUGAGAUACUGCUCUAUUUCUCAUAGCACACAGAGGAAUUUCUGAAGCUCUAAGAAAAUCCUAACCUAGCUAAUUUUUAGAAACAGCAGAAAAGAUGCAUGGAACAUCACUGGGCACAGCCAAAUGAUUUAAAUUAAAUAACUCUGAGUUUACAAGUUUCAAGAAGUAGGCUUUCAUUGGCUUUGGUGUCUGCUUCUCCCUGUACGUUUGCAUUUUGAGAAAGAGUCAGGAAAUGGAAAUGAGAGGGCCUAUUUCAAUGAGGAAAACAUCUAACUCUCAGUAAAAGGAAAAAAAAAAAAACAACUAAACAAACCCGACUAUAAUGGUUUAAAUAAAUAAGGAUUGUUUUUCUCUCAAAAAGGAAGUCUGGAGAUAGUCCAUUGCUGGUGUUGGUUUAGAGGUUUGAUGAUACCAGGGCUAAGGCCAUGGGGAUGUCUUGGCAAGUCCCUCAUGGUUGUCACAUGGCUGUUCAGGCCAUCAUGUCUUCAUUCAUGAAAGGGAAAAUGCAGAAGGGACAAAAAGGUGGUACAAUAGUCCCCCCCCCCCCUUAUCUGCAGUUUUGCUUUCUGUAUUUCAGUUACCCGUGGUCAACCACAGUCUGGAAGCAGAUGUUUCUCCUUCUGAUGGAUUUUUAUCAUCUCUCAUCAACACAAGAAGAAGCAGAAGGGUGGAAGCCAGUCCCGGUGUGAAGCAGACUCAGAAGCCUAUAGCUUUGGGGCACAUCAGGAAAGGCAGUCCCCUAGGGAUCAAUCAGAGGAGAAGCUGGGCUCCUCUACAAAUCAACCUAACUCAAAACCCUCACAGGGAAAUUGUUCACUCCUUCAGUGCAUCAUCGUAGGGCCCAUUAAAGAGUAACGAAAAAAGGACUCUGCCAGAACCCCAGAGCAUGCUGGAGGUUGUGAGAAGGACCAGAUAAUGUUUAAACUGAUUGUGGAGAGGCUGGCUUUCCAUCAGAAAGGCUUUGCAGGAGUGCGGAGAGUGGGUGGAACAGCCAGGCUUUUUCUCCAUCCAGGAGGCACUCUGGCGCUCUCUGAGCCCAUACGUCCACAACUCUGUAACUCAUUGCUUUCCUCAGCACCAGUGGCUUCUUCACCCCAGGAUCAGAAUGUCCAUCACCAUAGCAACCUCAAUAAUGGCUUCAAAUGAGAUCUUUUUGAUCCUCAAGGAUGCUGAUGUACAUUUUCUUUCUUUUCUCUCUUUCUCUUCUUCCUUUCCUUUCCUUCCCUUCUCUUUCUUUCCCUUCCCACUCUCUCUCCCUUUGUCUUUCUUUCUUCUCCGCGAGGCAGGGCAGGGCAGUGGUGGAAGGGUAAUGAAAGUCAGGGCUGAAAUUAGCUGUUGAAGUUGCUACUCCAACAAGAAAUGGCACAUACCUCGAGGCAGAGGAUGAACAGAUGGUGUAUAACUUGUACUCUCAGCCUCUUGAAGCAUCUGCCCUCACACAGAUUCUCAGAUCCUCUCAUAAGGAGAAGGGGAUUUGCAUUAUGGCUACAGGAAAUGAGAGAAAUGGGAUUGCUCUCCUAGGUAGAAUUUUGAUACAUAAACAAGAAAAUAAGAAGACCGUUUUUCUCUUAUUGCUCUCUCUUGUGCUUGCUCGUUUUUCAGAAGCAGUCUGCUUUAUGUGGAAAGAUUCGACAAUUCAAUAAAUUCAGCAAACUUU
This is a long non-coding RNA of Neofelis nebulosa (Clouded leopard), 3147 nucleotides long. RefSeq lists it as uncharacterized. NCBI's taxonomy places the organism in Eukaryota, Metazoa, Chordata, Mammalia, Carnivora, Felidae. The record is from RefSeq and is a predicted model, not a curated record. The transcript has 2 exons.